Molecule: long non-coding RNA, 1475 nt
Filed under: Oryza brachyantha (malo sina)
Lineage: Eukaryota; Viridiplantae; Streptophyta; Magnoliopsida; Poales; Poaceae
Description: long non-coding RNA (OBRA_LNC001452)
Source: RNAcentral
GCUGCUGGUGCCAGCUGGGAGAAUGGCUACGCGUACAACUGUGAGCUCCACGUCUCGACCGUGUGUGGCUCGCCGGUCCCACAUGUCUGUCUCCUGCGUUGUAGGAUUAAUUGGAGGAGAAAAUGGUUUUUGGUUACUACCUAUUUUUAUUUUUAUUCGAUUUUUUUUGUGGCGUGAGACAAAUCGUCUAUUCUUUUUUUCCAGAUUUGUUCAACAGCUGGUGUCUUGCUGUUCAACAGAGCAUGUCUUCCGUUCGAUAAUAAUUAAAAUAAAAAGGGUUUGUCAUAAUGUUUUUUUUUCCUUUUAAAAGGGCAUUUUAGAUGAUCUGAUCCUUGUGACCUGGCCGGUGCAUUAUCCUAUCCUUGGAAUUCCUGAGACGCAUUGUUGUGUGAUCUGCUGGACAGGAUGUCAGGUUGGCCAUGGUCGGAGCCAAUUUCUGCAGUUCUGUAGGGGAUAGAACCCACAAAUCCAUUUAUGUAAUGUUAUUUCGUUUCGUUCCAUGUUAUAAGAUUCGCUGGUAUUGUUUAGAUUUGUACAUGUGCUGAUAAAUCUAGAUAUAUAUACAAAACAUAUACACUAAUACAUUAUUGACUCUAGAUAAACUAACAAAGUACAGAUGGUCUGUGAGAGAAGUAUAGGAACAACAUUCCUGUAGAAACACUAUACAUCCAUUUGGUUUAUAAGAUCCAACGCAGUUAGUCAGACCUCCCCAUUAGAAAGUGCAUGUAAUUAUGGCCAUCCAUUUUUGCCAAGAUCUGAUUCUACUAUGACUGCUAAAGUUUAUUUAAUGUGUGAACAUUAGUGUGUAAAAUCUGGGCACUUAAGGCCCUGUUUAGUUUAAAAAGAUUUUUCCAAAAACAUCGUAUCGAAUCUUUAGACAUAUAAAUAGAGCAUUAAAUAUAGAUAAAACAAAAAAACUAAUUGCACAGUUAUAAAAGAAAUCGUGAGACGAAUCUUUUGAACAUAAUUAGUCCAUGAUUAGCCAUAAAUAUUAUAGUAACUCAUAUGUACUAAUGACGACUUAAUUAGGCUUAAAAGAUUCGUCUCACAGUUUCCAGAGAGCUGUGAAAUUCUUUUUUUAUUCGUGUCUGAAAAACCCCUCCAACACCCGAUCAAAUAUCUGAUAUUACUCUUCUUCUAAAUAUUUUUGUCAUCUAAACGGGGCCUUAUAUUUGCAUUGAACAGUUUUAGUGUGACUUAUAUUGCAGUCACACUAUGACUUACGAUGUAUCCAAAUCCGUUUUCCAUGUUCGUAUGAAUUUUUGGAAAUCACAUGAAACGAACAGGCACUAAAAUCUUCACAUGUGGGAAGCUGAAAAUCACCAAAACUUCAACACGCGUGGUACGACGAAACGGGCCAUGGCGAGGCCAUAUGGGCAUCCCUUUCCGGCAGAUCCCACGAGAUCGUGGGCGCCGCUGCCGGCCGAUCGGAGAUCCCCCACCCACCCAAUCUCCGCCGGUGGGCGCCACCCCCN